GACGAACGCUGGCGGCGUGCCUAAUACAUGCAAGUCGAACGAACUCUGGUAUUGAUUGGUGCUUGCAUCAUGAUUUACAUUUGAGUGAGUGGCGAACUGGUGAGUAACACGUGGGAAACCUGCCCAGAAGCGGGGGGAUAACACCUGGAAACAGAUGCUAAUACCGCAUAACAACUUGGACCGCAUGGUCCGAGUUUGAAAGAUGGCUUCGGCUAUCACUUUUGGAU
RNAcentral lists this ribosomal RNA (227 nucleotides) under uncultured bacterium. Its description in RNAcentral is "partial 16S ribosomal RNA". It matches the Rfam family "Bacterial small subunit ribosomal RNA", at positions 28 to 226 of the family's 1533-position model. The record is from RNAcentral.